AACAUACUCCCUCCGUCCGGAAAUACUUGCGGAGAAAUGCAUAAAAAUGGAUGUAUAUAGAACUAAAAUACGUCUAGAUUCAUCCAUUCCUCUGACAAGUAUUUUAGGACGGAGGGAGUAAUAA
Non-coding RNA from Triticum aestivum (bread wheat), 124 nucleotides. The record is from Rfam. Lineage: Eukaryota; Viridiplantae; Streptophyta; Magnoliopsida; Poales; Poaceae.